AAACUGAAGAGUUUGAUCAUGGCUCAGAUUGAACGCUGGCGGCAGGCUUAACACAUGCAAGUCGAGCGGAAACGAUGAUAGCUUG
RNAcentral lists this ribosomal RNA (85 nucleotides) under Psychrobacter sp. K31L. RNAcentral's name for it is "partial 16S ribosomal RNA". It matches the Rfam family "Bacterial small subunit ribosomal RNA", at positions 1 to 85 of the family's 1533-position model. The record is from RNAcentral. Lineage: Bacteria; Pseudomonadati; Pseudomonadota; Gammaproteobacteria; Moraxellales; Moraxellaceae.